CGUUUGUAAAAAAGAUUGGGACCAAGCUGCUAAAAGACAACAAGGACUUCAAGAAGAUGACUCGGACGGUGAAGAAGAUCCUUGGAUGUUGAUGGAUACUUCGUCGUCCGAAGGCGGCAAUUCGGCAAAUGAACAAGAAUAAAUAAAAAAUUUCUUUCUUUAUGUAUUUUUUUAAUUUAGUUUGUACAAGCGGUUUGUUCCGUUAAAUUUUUUAGAGAGGAGUCCUCUCACAUUAUUUGUAAUUUUUUUUUCUAAUUUAUAAAAUUUACAAGAGGUACCGCCCUCUUUUUACAAUUUAUUUAUUGUUUUAUAAUAAAUAAAUUGUACAAAGUUUAUAAUAAAUUUAUUAUUCAUUAAAUUAAACUAUUAAAUUCCAUUGCAAAAGUUUAGUAGAUCCNGAGGUACCGCCCUCUUUUUACAAUUUAUUUAUUGUUUUAUAAUAAA
This 444-nucleotide long non-coding RNA is filed under the name Daucus carota (carrot). RNAcentral's name for it is "long non-coding RNA (DCAR_LNC000252)". Lineage: Eukaryota; Viridiplantae; Streptophyta; Magnoliopsida; Apiales; Apiaceae. The record is from RNAcentral.